Molecule: ribosomal RNA, 397 nt
Filed under: uncultured bacterium
Lineage: Bacteria
Description: partial 16S ribosomal RNA
Rfam family: Bacterial small subunit ribosomal RNA
Source: RNAcentral
AUACGUAGGUGGCAAGCGUUGUCCGGAUUUAUUGGGCGUAAAGCGAGCGCAGGCGGUUUCUUAAGUCUGAUGUGAAAGCCCCCGGCUCAACCGGGGAGGGUCAUUGGAAACUGGGAGACUUGAGUGCAGAAGAGGAGAGUGGAAUUCCAUGUGUAGCGGUGAAAUGCGUAGAUAUAUGGAGGAACACCAGUGGCGAAGGCGGCUCUCUGGUCGGUAACUGACGCUGAGGCUCGAAAGCGUGGGGAGCAAACAGGAUUAGAUACCCUGGUAGUCCACGCCGUAAACGAUGAGUGCUAAGUGUUGGAGGGUUUCCGCCCUUCAGUGCUGCAGCAAACGCAUUAAGCACUCCGCCUGGGGAGUACGACCGCAAGGUUGAAACUCAAAUGAAUUGGCGGGG